UCUUGUUUGCCUCACAUCUCUCCUUUCACUUCUUCUUCUGCAGAAUGAGUCAAUUUAUAGUGAAAUUUGGGCUGCAAAUUUCUUCCCCUAUAGUCACCUACAGUUGCAAUUGUAGAAUGAACUCAUAGGAGGAGACUGGCAGAUCUUGUAAUUGCCGCAUUGCCGAGAAUUAAGGUAGACUGCAUCUAUUUUGUUGCUGCCAAUUUCACUCCAAAGUCAUGAUGGGAACUAUUGCAAUAAAUGCAAUAUUUCAUCUCCACAACCAUUGUCAAAUUUUGUUGGCUUGUGGGACCAUCCACAUGAAGUGGAAAUAGCUCAACAGAAUAAGGGAUCUAUAUUUACCUCAUAAGCAAGUUCAAGAACUUCAGUCAAAACAUUUGCAGGGAACUUAACAGAUGAUAAUCACAAUAGAAUCUGAAGAAACCUCUUGAAUUGAAAACAAUAAGUGAAAUUUCUCAAACUAUCUAAUUUAUCUAUCUUUUUCUCUAGAAAUUCAAAAUAUGUAAUUACAAAAAUGUUAGAGUAUCAUAUUUGGAUUACGAAUUGAACCUAAUAUCAAUUCACAAUGUUUUAAAAUAAAAAGAGGUUGAUUUGUCAAGUCAAAUAUGAAAGAAAGAGAAACCAAAAAAAGCACAAUGAACGGAAAAAGAAAAAUGUAAAAAAUAUCACCAUAAGCCAUGUACCUUUGCGGAAGUCCACUUCGUCGAGAAAUCCAUGACCGACAAACUGUUCAAGGCAAUAACACUGAUACACCGGCAUCAAGCCAACGCCAAGCGAUGGUGAAAUAACGCCGAGUAGCACCCUAGCUGUUUUCUCAUUGCUGCCAAAUAAACAACAAUAUUAACCUCAAUCGCAUUGACAUCUAAGCCUUAACCCCCAAUUACAUAAUUUAAUUUAUUCAAUGAAUGAAAAAAGCGAAAGGGUAUAAAUCAUCUAUAAAUUCAUUGUUGACUUAAAUUCUAGUUGUUCAGAGUUUUGGAGAGAGGUUGAACCAUAUUCUUUUGCACGGAUAAUGGCUUGGGUUUUUGAAAAAUUGAGAGAGGAAUAACUUUAUAGCUUCACUGUUGAUAGAGGGAUUGAACGAUUUUUUUAUAAAUAACCAUUGCCUCAGACAGAUUGUGGUAGAACGUGUGGGAGAGGGGGAGAGAGAACGUGUGUGAGAGAGAGAAAUUUGUUAAUUAUUGCUGAAAUUGUAAUUUUAAAUUUUGCUGGGAAAAAAUAACUUCUACUCCCUCCGUCCCAAUAAAAGUGGCUACUUUUUUUUUGGGCACGGAAAUUAAGAAAGUGCUAGUUAAGAUUAAAUCAUGUGUGGUCCACUUUUUUAAUGACUUUAUUAGUGAGCUAAUCCCAACUACCUCUUGUAACUACUUUUUCCAUUUUUUAACAUUAGUAAAUUUAAAUUCAUUUUCAUUUACAAAUUUUAAAUUUGAUUAAAUAAAAUCUGGAAAUCGAAAUUAAAAUUUAAAUUAAUUUAAAUUUGGAACACUUAACCAAAUUCUACACUGUAAAAAAAAAAAAUCUGGAACAACACUUUACCAAAAUUCUGGCGGCAGAUGCACUUUUUUCCAUAGAAAUGCAAAUCCAAAUUUGGGCGGCAAUUUUUACAAGCUCCCAAAACUCAAAAUAGAUUUUGAAAUUCCCUCUACAUUCAUCUAUAAAUAAGGGAUGUUCCUAUACAUAACUAUUCCCUUCACAAUUCUAAAAAAAUCACCAACAAUGGUGAGCAAAAAUCUGUCAAACCAAGAGAUGAAUCGAAUCGUCCAAUAUCUACUACAAAAUCUGAAAAACGGCAAGCCAAGGAGUGGAGCCAUGAAGGAGGCUGUCACCAUCUUCAAGUCCUCGAAGCGGACUGUCACUCGUCUUUGGGCUGCAGCUAAUAAACAACAAGACAAAGGUGAGCAAAUUUAUCUUACAAGUGCAAAACCAAAUGCACCUAGAAGGAAGAGAGUUCAUGUAGACCUAGAGCUAAUACAAAGCUUAGAUCUACAAAAAUGAUCGACAAUACGUAGGCUGGCCGUGGGGAUCAAUCGAAGCAAAAACACAGUUUGGAGGUGGGUUAAUCAAGGGCUGAUCAGAGCCCACACAAGCGCAAUUAAGUCUGACUUGACAGCCCCGAAUAAAUUGCUUCGACUACAGUUUUUAUUAGAAGCAUUGGAGUUUGAUCAAAUCAUGAUGGCGUUAAAGUUGAAGGCCAUGAACAACACAGUGCAUAUUGACGAGAAAUGGUUCUACAUAACAAAGGCUGCACAUAGGUUUUACCUUACACCCGGUGAAGGAGAUCCUCACCGGACAUGCAAGAGUAAGAGCUUCAUUGAAAAGGUUAUAUUUUUGUGUGCCAUUUGCAGGCCACAUUUUUCAGAUGAUGGUGAAGUUUUUUUUGAUGGAAAGAUUGGUAUCUUCCCAUUCAUACAGAAGGUACCAGCUCAAAAAAACAGUAAAAAUAGGGCAGUGGGGACUUCAGAGACGAAGCCAAUUCAGUCUGUGACAAAAGAAGUCAUGAAAGACAAUUUCAUUAACAAGGUAGAGCUGAGCCUAUUGUUUGUAUACAUUGUGGGCUGCUAUUUAGUGUUAUUGUUUUAAAAUGAAUUUUUUUGUUGGUAUUGUCAAACACACAUCAAAUGCUGCCAGCUAUUAGGGCCAAGUGGCUCAAAAUGUAAGCAAAGUCAUAUACAUUCAGCAGGAUAAUGCCAAACCGCAUAUACAUGACUCAGACCUGAGUUUAGGGCUGCUGCCACUUUGGAUGGAUUUGAAAUUUGAACAGUUCAUCAACCCCCAAAUUCACCCGACACAAAUGUGAAUGACUUCGGAUGGUUUCGAGCUAUUCAAAGUAUCCAAACAAAAUCAGCAUGCUACAAUGUUGACCAAUUGACAAAGGCAGUCGAGGAAUCAUAUGCACAGCUCUCUCCUCAUACUCUCAACAAGAUUUUUUUGAGUUUACAAGCUUGUAUGGUGGAAAUCAUGAAGCAAAGAGGGCACAAUGCAUACAAGAUCCCCUAUUUGAAAAAGGAUGGACUUAUGAGGGCUAAUGAGCUGCCUACAAACUUACAUGUUCCACUAGAGUUAGUGGAAGAGUGCUUCACAUAUAUGAAUGAGAAUGCACCAAUGCAUCAAGUUGAAGGGUUGAUGGCUAAGAUGGAAUACCCACACGAAGCAGGAAUCCUAAAUCAGUUUGGACAGUUAGGAAUUUAGAAUUUGGUUGUGGAGUUUUUGUAAAAACCAAAUGUGGUUGAAAUGCAUCCCGUAGUUCAAUUUUUGUAAAGGCAAUGCAGUUUCAAUUUUUGUAAAGGAAAUGCAAGUUCAUAUAUAUGAAUGCAAGUUUUUGAAUAGGAAAUGAUGGUAGUAUAGGAAACCAAAUGUGCAGCCUUAUAAAUCAAUCAAACACCCAACACAUCAACAUAUAUGAGGCACCAGACGGCCUCAAACCAUUUCACACCCUAUACAUCAACAAUUAUGAAGGCACCGGGCGGUCUUAAACUAUUUCACACCCAAUACAUCGACAUAUAUGAGGCACCAGGCGGCCAUAUACCAUAAAACAAUCAACUAACCAAUGUUGCUUUCAAAUUAUUUCUUAGACAACAUUAAAAAAAAGCAUCAAAGAAAUUUGUCACAUAGGAUUCAUCAUUUCAGCAAGAUUUAUACCAUCAACAAACAAUGCAUGCUUCAAUCCCCACUUUAAGCACAUAAAAAAUCAGAGAACAAGUGCCAAAAGGAAACUUCUCACCUGUAACACCCCGUAUUUUUUAGAGCUAUUUGUGCCCUAGCUCAAACUUAAUUUGAGUUUUUAAAUAGCAUCUAGAAAGUAUUUAUGCACGCGGGCGAAUAAAUGAGAUAAGAUUUAUUGAGAGUUUAUUAGGAGACAGUAUUAUUUUCUCGGGCCUUAUAAAUUCUAUUAUUGAGAAACCUAUCUUCGCCCUAUAUUUUUAUUGAAAUGUCUAUGUGAUAUAAAUAUUUUACUUGGUAGAAUAUUCACAUAUGAAUUAUUGAUGCAUUGUUAUUAUGAUAUUAGUAAUAUCAUAAUUGAGAUAUAUUUUCCGCACACAUGUAUAUAUAUAUAUUUUCAUGGGUCAUAUUCCUACACACAAGAUGAAAGAUAAAUUCCCUAAUUUCUUCCUCACAUUUUCGGUUCUCUAAUUUCUCUAUCUCUCUUAUUUAUUUAUUUAUUUUCCUACAUUAAACACCACAUGUCUAAUACAUGCAUGCAUAGUAAUCUAAUAACCUAAAGUACUGUACUUACCUACAUCUAGUAGACAACUCCCCUCAAUUCAUGCCCUCACAAAUCAUGUUCUAUCUCUCUCUCCUUCCUCCCCCUCAACUCUCAAUCUCUCUCUUCUCUCUUUUCUUUUCUCUCUUCUCUUCUUCUCUCUUCUCUCUCUCCUUCUUCUCUUACCUCACGAUACCUCACCCUUCACCUCCCUAUGGCCUAAAUCUCCAUAGAUCAUCAUCAAGCAUGCUCCCUACAAGAUUAUACAUUUAUGUGAUAAGAUCACACCAUCCCAUCACCUCUCAUCAAGACAAGCUCCCCUUCUUUCUUCAUAAGCUUCGGCCGCCCCUCCCCCUCUUCACUUCACCCCAUUUUCUUCUUGUUCCACCAAAUAUAGCAAGAACAAAGGUUUCUAAAAGUGUUCAUCUUCAAGUUCAAGCUUCAAGAAAACCCUAGGCAUCCUCUAAUCCACCUUCUUUGAUUUUGUUAGAAGUAAGCUCAUAUCCUCAUCUUAUGAUACGUGUAUAUGUAGGUAUAAGAUGAAUAAGCAUGUAUAUAUUGAAGCAUGAUAAUCCUUCCUCUCUUGUUUAAGAUUUUCGUAAAUAGAGAAGGAGAAGAAGCCAUAGAUUUCUUCAAGCUUUCUUUUAACUCACAAGUUUAUGUACCUCUACAUGUUGGAUGCACAUGAGUGGAAUAUUUUUCUUGGUCACCCUUAAGGGCUAUGUGUGUUAUGUGAAGCAUGAUGAGUUCUUGGUAUGAAAAAGCAUGAGUAUAUUGGUGAAAAUUAUAGAUCUAUGAGGAUAUAUGUGAAGUAGACUUUGAAAUUAUAUAAGCUUUGGUUUUUCAACCAUUUGAGAAUUCUUCACUAAGCUUCUGUACUGCUGAGUCGACGAGGUUUUCAUUGUCCAAAAAUCUUGAAACUUUUAUUGUGUGUAGAUAGAGGUUUCUUGAACAUGCUUGUAAAAUUUCAAGCCAUUUUGACUUCGUUUACUUCAUUUUUAAAUUAUAAAACUUCUACUGCAAAUUUCUACCGGAAAUUUGGAAGGGCAGUCACUGGAGUCACACUUUUCAGUAGCUUUCCAAAAUAUUCUACCUCUCAAAUUUUUAUGGUAGAAAGAUACUUGUGUUAUUCAGAUACACACCAAAUUUCAAGCCAUUUCGGCAACGUUUACUAUUUUUCAAAAAUCUUAACUUCCAGUUAUCCGAAACUACCGAAUCUGGUAGACUGUGGGAAAACAUUCAUAUCUUUUAAACCACUUGGAUUUUUUCAACCUACUUUUUUUAAAAUGAAACUGACUCAAAGAGGUUUUCAGCGGUAUAAGUCUCGAAUCCAGGAGAGUUCUGAGAUGAAACAGUUUAUUCUUUAAAGUCGAGGCAGUGCAGAAGUAGUAAGUUGUAUGUAUUCGAAAUUUUUUCUUUUGAUAUAUGAGAAUUUUAAAGUUUUGGUGAUGGUAUACACCAUAUUAUUUCAUGAAAAUGCUACUGGAAUAUAUAUAUAUAUAUAUAUAUAUAUAUAUAUAUAUAUAUAUAAAUUUUUUUGGAAUUUUUUCAAAAAAGGGAUUUAUGAGAUUUAUUUGUCACAAUUCUUAUUGAAAAGGAUUGUUUCGACUUUUAAAGGUUUGAAAAGAAUGUUUGAGUGGGAAUACUUAUAUAUAUAUAUAUUCCAUAGCUUACAUGAAUAUUUUAGAAUUUACUUACUAGGGAAAAAGAUUUCAAGUUUCAUGGAGUGACUUUUAAGUCAUUUUACUAUUGAGAUAAAUUGUGAAAAUGUACUAUGUGGAAUAAUUGAUUAAUUUGAAGUAUGAAUGACUAUGUGAAUUAUUUGAGUGUUAUUUACCUAUAGGAUUGAGAGUCUUUUAAUUGGAUAAGAUAUCCAAUUACUUGGGAGGUCCAAUUGGGUAAAUAGUGGAGAAGUUAUAAGAUGAGAUUAAGCAUAUGAUGAAAGUAUAAGUAUUAGAUAUUAGUUAGAUUAAUUUCUAACUAGAGUUUAUUUUGUCACAUGGCAAUCUAAAUUACGUGCGCCACCAAAGGUUCGAGUGACGGCCGGCGUUAGUACGACUCUGAGCUCUACGUCAUCGACCCUUGAGACAGGUGGACUUUAUUCUAACUCUAUUAUGGCAAGUUACCAUGAUAAUGAGUUCAAAUGCAAAUCUUAUGAAAAUGAAGCAUGUUGAAGUAUUAUGAAAAUUGUCAUCUUGCCAUAUUUAUUAUUGAUGAGAAUGAAAUGUGGUAUGUUGCCUCUAUGAAAGACAUGAUUAUGAUCACGAUGCAAGAUAUCGGCCUUUGACUGAUUUAUAUGACAGUAAAGGUUUUGUGCGUAGAGGUGAUCGUGAGCCGUCUCUAGUCGGCUGAUCACGGUGAUUUGAAGGAGGCCUCCUUCUCUUCACCUAAUAUAUAUAUGAUAUAUGAGUUCUCAUAGUUGGCACAUACCUUGAAUAUAUACAUUGUCUGCAGACUAAUGAUAUUAUUAUGAUGAUGCAAAUGAGUUUAUGACAGAAAAACAUGAACAUGUAUUUUUAAUCUCACUUAAUCCUAUUGAUGCAUUGAAAUGGACAAGGUUGACAUAUAGCUCUAAGAGCAACAUUGCAAUUAUUUCUGGCAUGAGUCCACUGAGUGCUUUUUGGUACUCAGCCCUGCAUAUAUUUCUAAAUGUGCAGGUCUUGCUUGGCGCGAUGAUGGGUGAAGGCUAUUGGAACUGUCAGUUAGCCGUAUCUUCCUAUGUCUCACAUUUAUCUUUAUACGCUUUGACUCUAUAAGUAACUGAACUCCCUGCUAUAUGUCUUCACACAUAUAGUAACGAAUCUCGCUGCAUAACUCUGACGAAACUCUUUUAUUCAAUUUGCUUAUGUCUGUAAUAUCCCAUAAGGGAGAAUACUUUUCAAACCCUUGCUAAGUCUCCAAUUACUUAUUUAUGUUUCACCCAAGUAUGAAAAUGUUUUGGUCUUAAAAUCUUUCUUGAAAAUGAGUAAAGUUUGCAAAUGCUUCUGCUAAAACAAGAUGUAUAUUCUGUUUCUUUCACCAUUUUUUUUAUUAGUCGUACGAUACUUGUAUACGUUAUCACUGGCUAUAUCGGGCUGCGACAUCACCGAAUAAGGAAACAUCUGCUUCAAGAUUUGGAAUCUUGUAAGUUUCUUCUUCAUCACAGGCUGCUCCUCCGUUUCCGGGACUUGCGUCCAGCCACAGAGUCCGCAUCUCUAGUAAAUCGGCUGGGACGAACGUCCAAGGGACCACGGUGACAGUGUGUCGGCCGCAUAACCCAAGAGAUACUCAUGAUCUCCGUCGAUUCAGGCGGAGGUGGAUAGGUCAACGGAGGCGGCGGAGAAUCACAUGCGAUGGGGGAGCCCUUGAUCUGACAUUUUUUCUCAACCAAUGGCGGAUCGAACACCAAUCGCCGCCGCAUCGACGGAGACUCCACGGCGAGAGGAGCAUGAGGCAACAGGUUGCCGCUCAGAGAGGCGACGGGCUCCGACUUCGUCGGAGAGUAAGUGGAGGCAGCGGGAUGAAAGGGGGAGCUCUCGCUGCACAAUCUCCACCGAAUCAAGGGAGAAUCGACGACGAAAGGUGCGUACAACAGGACGCCGCUCAGAGAGGCGACGGGCUCCGGUGAAGCCGGAACAUCGGAAGUUUGCUUUUUCAUCAUCGCGAUGGGUUAAAACCUUAGACCCAAAGAGGCAAAAGGCUCCGGUCAACGAUGAAUCGAGGGUGAAAACCCAAGAUUCAGAGGGGCAACGACGAUUCAAUGACGAUUGAACGGCGGGAGAGCAACCAAAACCUUAGAUUCAGAGGCAACGACAAUGAGAGAGAGAGCCAAGAGAGUGGGCAGCUAGGGUUAGAUGAAAUGAUGGUGAAAAAUAGACUUAAGUAGACUAUGUUAGGGUUUACUUAAUAAGUUAAUUAAUGAUCUUAAUUAAUUUAAAUUGUUCCUUAUUUUAGAAAGUGGCCACAAAUAAUGAGACACACCAAAAAGAAAAAGUGGUCACUUUUAUUGGGAACGAGGGAGUAUAAACUAUGUUUUCAUAUGAUAUAUAGAUAGAUAUAUGGAUUAGCUAUUUUAUUUCAUUUCUUUUUAAAUUUGGAAAUUGCUAGAGGAUCAACACGUGCCAUGAGAUUAUAGGCUCUAACACUACUAUAGGCUUUCAAAGUAGCCAUACCAGUGCACUGGAGUCGCGUGGUGUUAGAAGGCCUCUCAAAUUCUCCUUCCUCGUUAACCGCCAAAAUGAAAAUCACACGUCAUAUCGCCUGCAUUUCUCUCCUGUUCCUCUAUGCGAAGUUAAAACCUUUAAAAUUUUAACUUUUUAUAAUCAAGCGUCUUUGAUACAUUUCAUGCAGAACUGUAUCCAGCCGAACCGUAGGAAACUACUUCGUUGAUCACCACCCCCUUCAUAAAUACUCCGUGAUUUAUCAUUUCUGCAUGAGUUUACUCCCAGUUUUCCUCUUCUCUCUCUCUCUCUAAUACUCUAUCUCUCCUACCACAACUCUAUACUUCCUAACUUUCUCUCUCUGCAUAAUGUCUCCGGCGUCUUCACUCGAGGUCAUCGCCGAUCGUUCCGAUCUGUUACUGGGAAACCUUCCGUCGGAGGAAACAGAAAUUCCGGAAACUGUCGCCGAUGCGUGGAAGAAUAUCGUCCGCGACGUUUCGACUACUCGCUCCGAUCUCGGUAUCUCAGCUGACACGGUGGAGAAUACCGGAAAACUUCGCAAGGACAACGUGAAAUUGAGCGUAAAUGUGGUGUUCCCCAGCAGUUCCAACGGUGGAACGGCAGACAGCGGAGAGUCGGAGGCGGUGGCUAAUACUAGUGGAGGUAAGACGACGUCGGUUCUGAAACCAUCGCCUAGCGUGGGGAUGAGUCUGGAGAAUCAUAUGGAUUCGCCGAUCGGAAACGGUGGCGGGGAAAAUGGCUCCGCUGCGUCAAUGAUCGAGGAGGCGUGGGAACUGCUCAGCAAAUCAUACGUUUACUUCAAAGGACAGCGUGUUGGUACAAUUGCAGCCAAUGAUGAUCCAGGAAGCGAGACCUUGAACUACAAUCAGGUAGCUAUUUAGACAUGUUUCCACUAAAGCUUAUAAUUCAAAAUCUGAAAAUAUCUAAGCGAUGCUUACGUUAUAUUAUCCCUGUUUUAAAAGCGUAUUGAGUUUUGACUUUUCUGAUGCACAAUUGUAUGUUAACACCGCGUUGUAAUCUAUAGCAUCAAUCACAUUUAACACUGUUCACGGCCUUUGUUUGUUCUGUUCUGUAUAUUGUUUUGGUAUGUCUCUCUAGUUUAUGAACCUUAUGUUUUUCGUUUGAAUUACUUUUGUUGGUAAUGUUAUGUUGCUUUGGUGGUUGAUAUCUACAUCACAUGCACCACGAUUCACGCUGGUGUCAUUCUCUGUUUCAGGUUAGAUUGUUCACCGAUUACUACAGAUUCAAAAUGUCAUCAAAUUUUAAGAUGCUGUUGAGUCAUUUAAUUCACAUAAUUAUUGAUACAACUCAUGCUGCGAUCCUGAAUUUGGUAGAUAAUUGCUCCCUAUAUCACUUCUGACAGCUCCUAUAUUUGCAGGUAUUUGUGAGAGACUUUGUUCCUUCUGGGUUGGCUUGCCUGAUGAGAAAUGAUGCUGAUGUAGAGAUAGUGAAAAAUUUUCUGCUGAAGACCCUCCACCUCCAGGGAUGGGAGAAGAGGAUAGAUAACUUUACACUUGGAGAAGGUGUUAUGCCUGCCAGUUUCAAGGUUAUCCAAGACCCUAUCCGGCAGAAGGAGGUUUUACAAGCAGACUUUGGAGGCAGUGCGAUUGGAAGAGUUGCACCCGUGGAUUCUGGGUUCUGGUGGAUUAUAUUGCUGCGUUCAUAUACUAAAUGCACACACGAUUACUCUCUCUCAGAGCUACCUGAAGUCCAGAGAGGAAUCAAAUUAAUACUUAACCUGUGUCUAUCGGAUGGAUUUGAUACAUUUCCUACACUCUUAUGUGCAGAUGGAUGCAGCAUGAUCGACAGGCGGAUGGUAGAAAUCUCUCUACAUCUCUUAUCUCCAUGUUCGUAUUUGAUUGAUGUUGAAGUAGCUUAAUGAUGCUUGAGUGUGCUGAUUGGUGUACCCUGAAGUUAAACUGCAUAUGAUGUAGAUGAUGUCUGAAAUUUAUAGUUAAAAUCAUCUUCAAAGACUAUAUUUGCCGGUACUUUUGUGAUUUUGCUAGUGAGUUAUUGCAUUUGAGCUGAUGUAGCCUUUACUUGCAUUAUGGACAGGGGGUUUAUGGUUAUCCAAUUGAGAUCCAGGCACUCUUCUUUUUUGCUCUGAGGUGUGCGAGACAAUUGCUUAAACCAGAGCAUGAUGGUAAGGAGUUGAUUGAGCGUAUUGAUAAACGGAUUACUGCUCUGAGUUACCAUAUGCAAAAUUACUACUGGCUUGACUUCACUCAACUGAACAACAUAUAUCGCUACAAAACUGAGGAAUAUUCUCACACUGCUGUCAACAAAUUCAAUGUCAUUCCUGAAUCCAUCCCAGACUGGGUGUUCGAAUUCAUGCCACUGAGGGGUGGGUAUUUCAUUGGCAAUGUAAGCCCAGCUCGCAUGGAUUUUAGGUGGUUCUUGGUUGGAAACUGCAUUGCUAUUUUGAGCUGUUUAGCUACACCAGCACAGGCUACAGCAGUUAUGGAUUUGAUUGAGGAGCGUUGGACAGACUUGAUUGGGGAGAUGCCCCUGAAAAUUGCAUAUCCAGCACUUGAAGGACAUGAAUGGAAGAAUGUAACCGGCUGUGAUCCAAAGAACACGAGAUGGAGUUAUCAAAAUGGUGGUUCUUGGCCAGGUACUCAACAGAACUUUGUACAAGUUUUCCUCUGAAGCAUGUUACCUGCUUGUUCGAAAAUUAGAUUUAUUGUUUUUCAUAGAUAAUAUUCGGUGACAAAGCUUUCCUCAUACUGAUUUCUUAUUCACAGUUUGUCAUUUAAUGUAUCAUAGUCUAUGACUACACUGUAGCAUAUGGUUGGUAUGAGUAAGGUUCCUCUUUCAAUGUGUAAGAAUGGCAUUUCUUUGCAGUUCUUUUGUGGCUACUCACAGCUGCAAGCAUAAAGACUGGAAGGCCUCAAAUUGCUAAGAGAGCGAUAGAGUUGAUUGAACAACGUCUCUCAAAAGAUGGAUGGCCCGAAUACUAUGAUGGAAUCACAGGGCGGUACAUUGGAAAGCAGGCGAGGAAGCACCAAACAUGGUCGAUUGCAGGAUAUCUGGUCGCAAAGCUUAUGAUAGAGAACCCAUCCAAUCUGCUCAUCAUAUCUCUUGAAGAGGACAAGAAGAUUGCAAAGCCAAGGCUCACCCGCUCUGCCUCAUGGACCUACUAGCUUGCUACUCAAGAUAAUCAUACACUGCCUUCAAAAAUGGUACAAACUCUAGAAACAUGUGGCUCUUCUCAUGUUUCUUCAAUAAAAGGUAAUCUUUAGUUGCAUAAGAUGGAAAUUAGACCAACUAUGAAAUUCCAUUAAUUACUGCUUGCUUCAGUUGAAAAUGUAAAUUCAUAUACUCCAUAAUAGGCUACAAGUGCUGGAUCUGUUCUUUUUAAGUAGUGUGAUUAAUUCUCCGAUCAUAAACAGCUCAUGUGGUAUUCAGUCCCAUCUUUUCAAUGAUUAUACUCAUAAACAAGUUGAGGCUUUUGAUGUAGGAGUAGUAUUUAAUUCUCAGCUCUCGACUUUAUUUUAUUUCUAGUGACGCUUUGAUCUAGCCAAACCGUGUGCUUUUACUCAGAAUUACUUAAAACGCCUUUGCUUCCUUUCCAGCUAAGGCAUUUGAAAAACAAAACCGGCCGUUACAAGGCACGGAAUAUUAUUAGCCCUUGAGUUACUCCUCUUGAUAUAUAUAUCCAUCGCCUAAAAAAGAAGAGAAAUCCUUUGUUGAUGAAGUGCGAGAAGGUGGCGAGCUGGGUGGGGGCGAGCGUGGCUGCGGCCUUCUUCUCGUCUCUGGAGAAGUGUUCGUGUAUUAACAUAUCAACGCUGGACUUCGACGUCGACGAGGAGGCCGACGAUCGCCCCCUUAUGUUUACCAAAUUCCCUUCCGAAGCCUCCUCCCACCACCGCAUUUCCAUCGAUAAGCUCCAUUACCCUAUAACUAUUCCUAUGCCUCUUUGAUGCAUCUAAUUAUACAUGCCUGUGUAUCAUAAUUAAAUUACGUUACUAUAUGUUGUUUAUUUAUUAGUCUGCAAAAUUGGGCUCUGUAAUAAUUCGACAAUGAUUUGAUCAUGUAGCGUAAAACUUUCAGUUUUAUGUCGCGUUGCUUGUAUAAAUUUUCUUUCUCCUAUCGGUUUCUGCGUGAAAAAAAGUAAGGAAAAGGAAAGUCUACAGAACUAUAUCCUUACCAUCUUACAUGUUCAAUUUUAGUUUAGAUUUUUUCUCUCUCUCUCUCUCUUCGUUAUUUAUUUUACUAACAAAUAACAAUCACAUAAUAUGCCAUGAGAAAUAUUAGGGACGGAUGUUGUGAUCGAAUUCAGUUUGCCGCUUUGUGUUAUAGAAAUUUAAUUGGAAAAAGUGGAACUAGUUUCUUUUUAGGAUUCAUGAAUUGUAAACCCUCUUUACUAAUUGUUCCUCAAGCCUAGUUAGAAGAAGAAUCCAUGAAAAGGAAUAGUUUUUGGAGGACCCGCUGCAGUGAGAAAGUGAUCCUCUCGUAGCACGCCUAAAAAGAUUUCUAAUCCAUAUGUAAUCUUUUUUAGAGAGAGAUAAGCACAUAUUUGUUUAUAUAUUUUUUGGCAGUAAGCACAUAUUUAAUCUUAAAUCUAUAUUCGCAUACAAAGUUAUUGUGAAUAUGAUAUAUUGAUAUCUAUCCAUAAAAGGCAAAGUAUAUUCUCAAGUCCCUCUACAAAAUAAAUGUCUUACACCAUCUUAUACAUUUGAACAAAAAAUUUAUGAUAUAUAUUACUCUAUAUGAUUGAAAAUGAUUGUGUUUUAUAUUUUUUGAAUUUAAUGCACAACUACUCAAAAUUCACAUUUCAACGGUGAUUAUCUUGAGGUUGUCGGUUUCCCUCAAAAAAAAAAAAAUCUUGAGGUUGUCGGCCCCUUAUAUGUGAGGUAGUCGUGCAGCUAGGUCAAAUGGUCAGCCGACUACCUCAAUUAAAGGAGCAGCUACCUCCAAUUUUUUUAAUGAAAACAAUGCAAUGCAAUUAAAGAAUCAAUGGCUACCUAAUAUUCCCUUACCUUUUGAAUUUAAUCAUAUAGCCCCCACCCAAUUUUUUUUAAAAACCUAAUAAAUACCCUACCACAGCCCACAGUUAACACCUCCAAAAAUUCCUACCACAUCCUCAAAUGACUACCUCAUCCAAAACAAAAAUACCCACGGCUAGUUCACGGCGUGAGAGAUAGAAAGAAAGAAUCAAUCCGCGGUCAAAGCUCGAGUUUAAUCUACUAUAAUGACUUAUUUUUUACAGGUUCUUUAUUCGAAUCUUUAGGAAAUUUAACAUUAGUAUUAAUUUAAAGUAUAUUUUAGAGUUUUAAAAUUAAAGUCUCAAUUAUAUGAUCGCAUUAAUUAUAUUUUUUAGGAUGUAUUGAGCAUGAAUUACAUAUUAUUUGUAAUUGUUCGUAUUUGUUCUAAACUAAAUUAGCUCCUCAAGCAUGUAGUUGAUCGUGUGAUUUAUGAUUAAUUUGUGGUAGCCGGUCGUGAUUCACGAUCGGCUACCUACAAGCGUUGAUCGGCUACUUCUUGAUUACUUGUUAAUUUUUAUAAUUUUAUUGCCGAUCGGCUACCUCUUGAUUUGUUGUUAAUUUUUAUAAUUCUAUUGAUUGAUAGUGAUCUAAUUUAUGAAUUUAGUAUUCAUAAUUAAUCGUGAUUUCAUACUUAUUUAAUUAUGAAUUGUUUUCUUAUGAUAAUUAAUCAUGACUUCAUAAUUAAUCGUGGAAUUUAUAUUAUUUUCUUUCGAUAAUUCAUAAUAAUAGUGGAUUAAUAAUUUAUAAUAAUCAUGACAUUUGAUAAUUAAUCGUAGCUUCGUACUAGAAUUUAAUUAUGAAUUGUUUUCUUUUGAUAAUUAAUUGUGGUGAUGAAGAGUAAACUCUGCAUCAAUUAUACGCAAUUAACAUGGCUGAAAUCUUUCUUUUAUAUUAUUAUUAUUGACACAAUUAUUACUAUUAUUUCAAACAUUUUGUGUAGCGCUGACUUGACAGGGCUGACCUUAUCAAUCGAGGAUUAUCUUGGCAGUUCAACGACUCAGCUCCAAGCUUAAGACUCAUGUAAUAAGGGCUUAGGCCCAAUAUUUAAAUUAAUGGGCCUCAGGGGUCAAAUGGGCUCAAGUGCCCUAGUUUUACUCUUAUGGCUAUAAAUAGGACAUUUUAUUAUUAGUUUAGGGGACUUUGGACUCAUUUUCUCACCAUGUAAAUUGUAAACACAAAAAGUAUAGUGAAAAACCUCAAAAACCCACCGUGGAUGUAGAUCUAAUGAUCGAACCACGUAAAUCCUCGUCAUUUAUCGCUUUAUAGUUAGGUGUUGAUUUUGAAUUCAUCAACUAUUACUUUUACCCUUUAGGUGUGUCUCCUGAUGAUGAUCACUGAUCUUGUGAAAAUAUGAAACACCCAAUAGUUGCCCCGAGGCAAUAAAUAAGUGAUGGAAUUCAUCCAUCGGAUCCUACAUCUAUCUUCACUAAUGACCCAAGGUUCUCCUACCUUAACAUGUGAAGAUAUUUAGGCAGCGUAAGAAACAAUUGAUCAUGUUGACCGUAUAUCAUCUCAAUCUCCUGAUUUCGUGCCCGCAAAUCAGCAUCAUACUUGAUGCGCACACCGAAUUCACGUUGUAGCUCGUUAACAAUUACCUUGAGCUUCAUGAUCUCUGUCUCAUCAUGAGUUUAUGACAAACUGACUAUGAAAUUAAUAGGCCCAUCCAACAUUUAUGACAAACUCAAGCUGCAAACUCACUCAAUGUAAAUCUUAUUUGCCCAUCAUUCGUAUCUUCAGUAGCAUUCGAAUCGGUUUCGUCUUCACCCACCUCAUCUUCAUCCACGGGUAAGCCUGAUGAUCUCCAUGUGCGGCUGCACCGUGUUCCUAAGGUAUCAUGGACAGCGAAGCAAUGUUCAACUACUCUUCAUCACGCGCUGCGGUUUGUGGUUGAUCCUAGUCUCCCCAGAAUUGUGGUGUAGUGUGUUGUCAAUCUUGGACACCCGCGUGAAUUUGUUGUUGAUCCUAGGUGUCCAGGACUGUGAUGUAGUGAUCUGCCAAGAAGCAGUAUUUUGCUUACCUUGUUUGCCAUCAGCCAACCAAUUCAGACCGACAUAUCUCUGAAUUACUUCCAACCCCUUCAUCAACCUGCUGUGAAGAUUGUGAAUCAUACCUAUACUCUCAAGACCGAGGGCAUUUAUACGAUGGGACGUAGACUUUUUGUCUCGACUGUUCCACUACAAGACCUAAUUCAAUAUGUCGUGAUUCAACAUAUAUACACUACAUGAUUGUUGUGCAAUAUCUUCAUCCCCACAAAUUGGAUAUUUUUUAAUCUACCCGGCUAAUUCUUUGAUAGAUAAAAUACCUUGUAGGUAGAUGAUCUCGGGCAAUACAUAGUUAAUUUGGUAUUCCAAGUUAAUAAUAUCAACAUUUAAAAUUGCAACAACCGUUGCAGCCCUACCAACGUAGUUACAGUCCUCAUAUUCACCCAUGUAUCUCACAAUGACGUUUUUUUAGGAAAUUUAUCUAUCUACAAAUAAAAUAAAGAGAAAGAUAAAUAUUAAAAUACGUCAUUACAACCGAUGUAAUUUCUGACUGACUACCCAGUAUCCCGACCAAAUUGAAGUAUAGUUUAUUUAAUUUCAUGACCAUCUAAAUCAUUUCUAUAAACAUGUUCGCCAAAAUAAUUUAAUUACACGAAAACACCAACCCUUUUGUUUAUCACUAAUUCAAUAAAAUAAAAUAAAAUAAAAAGAUAAAAAUGCUCAACAUUUCAAUAAUUCAAUAUUUCAAAAUUGAUGUUCAUUCAAUUUAAACUAUAAUAUCGAUAGUUACAUCCUUUUUUUAGUAGAACUCUUGACUCAAAAUGCAAUGUGCUUUUCCCAAAUAUAUAAUUUUCAAAAUGUAGUAAAUUAUUGUCAAUUGAUUUUGUGUUUGCGUUUGAGUUGGAUUGCCAAUGUUUGAGUUGCUUUAAAUUUAUCAAAGUGUUGAACAUGAAUUAUUACAUAGCUCACAUUGUAGUAAAUUUGGCAAUACAUUCAUGUGAAUUUAAAUCAUUGCAUGCAUGCAAAAUAAAUACCACGAAUUAGGGUUGUAAUCGAAUCGAAGCGAAGCGAAUAUCACCAUAUUCGAUUCGUAUUCGUGAAAUGAUACUAAUAUUCGAUUCGUGAUUCAAUUCGACUUCGAAUAUUAAAUUCAAUUCGAUAUUCGAUUCGUUGCUAUUUUUAAAUUAUUCGAUUUGAUUCGAGUAUUCGAUUCGAAUAUUCGAUUAAAGUAUUCGACUUGUAUUCUAUACUAUUCGAUUCAAAAUUCUGAGAGGGCUGCAGCAGACGGAGAGGGCGAUUGGCGGCGGGUGACGAGCCUAGCAGACGGAGAGGGCGACGUUGCGGCGAGGUGUUGGCGACUGGCGGCGGGCGACGAGCGAUGCAGCCGGCGCGGCGACGCGGCGUACGUGCAGAAGAGAAGAGGAAGCUCAGGCGCCGCUAGAUGAAGGAUUUGGUUUCAGAUUUGAAAAUGGAGGCUCGUCUAGUUAGAAAUGAAUUAGGGUUAGAAUUGUUUUUUUACUAUUUUUUUUAAAUGAGGGUUAACAAUUAGAUAUUACAAAAAUUGUAAUUAAAAUGUUAAUAUACUAUAUAUAAAGUAUAUAUAUACAAUUAGGGUCAGAAUUAGAUAUUAUAAAAUUAUAAUUAAAAUAUUAUAUAUAUAUAUAUAUAUAUAUGUAUAUAUUUAUAUAGGGAAUGGCUAAAAUAAGAGCAUUUCUUAAGAUAUAAAAUAAGAAUCAUUUUCAGCCAUUAGAUCAUCAAGAUCUACGGUUGAUUCGUAAUCCUGUUGGAUGAAUUUAUGGUCAUGAGUUCGAAUCCCAAAGGUAGCAAAAAUUUAUUAUUCACAAUUCAUACCUUUAUAUAGCAAAUUCAUACGUGUUCUACAUGAAAUUCAUACAUUAAAAAUUGCUCUUAUUUCUUAUUUUAAGAUGUGCUCUCACGGUAUUUCAUAUAUGUAUUUGAAUAAUAAUCGAAUCGAAUCGAAUAAUUUCGAAUACGAAUAGGGCAAUUUCGAAUCGAAUCUCGAAUCGAGCAAAAAUAUUCGAUUCAUUUACAACCCUACCACGAAUUAUCAAUCACAAUUUGUUAAAAAAAACUAAGUAGUCUUCCUAUGACUACCUCAGAGGGCCGACUGACUACCUACUUUUGCAACUGGCUACCUAGACUACUAGCCACCGAAUUUAAUUCUCUUGUAUAAAAUAAACUUUUAAUUUUUUCAUAAUUAAUAAAUUUAAGGGUUAAGGUGUAGAUUAGUCCCUGAAGUAGACCCCCCUAGAGCGUUUAGACCCCCAUAAUCGGUCAAGGCGCGUUGACCUCCCUGAACUCCAGAACAAGGGUGCAACUAACCCCACAUAACUAACGGCCUACUCACGCCGUUUCCUUCGAUUUUUUUUUAAUAUUAAAAAGGGCCAAUCUAUCUUCUUCCUUGACUCACGGUGUACCCACCAUUCUUACCCUCAAAUCCCUCUCUCUCUCUCUGAAAAUCACGGCUGAAACACAGCACCGCCGCUCCUUUCCUCUUCUCCGGUGGCGUCAGCCGCCGCGGCUGAAUCUGGCUCCGCCUCCCUGGACAGUCGUCUUACCCUCUCUCUCUCUCUCGCUCUCACUUUGUCUUCGCCAAUUCUGGAAUACACACAAAAGUAUUGAGCCCCAAUUUCGCCUCANUUUCCUUCGUAUUUUUUUAAUAUUAAAAAGGGACCAAUCUAUCUUCUUCCUUGACUCACGGACCCACCGGUUGUACCCUCGCCAUUCUUACCCUCCAAAUCCCUCUCUCUCUCUCUGAAAGUCACGGCUGAAACACAGCACCGCCGCUCCUUCCCUCUUCUCCAGUGGCGUCAGCCGCCGCGGCUGAAUCCAGCUCCGCCUCCCUGGACAGCCGUCUUACCCUCUCUCUCUCUCGCUCUCACUUUGCUUGCCAAUUCUGGAAUACACACAAAAGUAUUGAGCCCCAAUUUCGCCUCAGAAACGCUGCUUCCGCCGUCCUGUGAUUUCCGGCGAGCCGGCGCUGCCGCUAGGCGCCGCUUCUUUCCUCCUCCCUCUCCCCUUACUCACUGACGACUCAGCAUACCCAUCUCUCAGCUCUCGGCGAAGUUCCAGAUCGAGCCUUAACCCUCCUGUUCUCUUCGAUUCCGGCCGCCGCCGCUGCUAUCACGGAUCCGCGAGGCCCGUCUUCUGAAGGCCAACGAGGCCCGCGGCUCCCACCUCGUUUUUCCCCUGUUCCCAAAACAGAAGGGCGACUGAGCCCUAGCCUCCUCUAGGUUCGACUGAAAUCGACGUCCUGGUUCGACUUCCGGCGGGCCGUCUCUGCCUUACAGCCACCGUCGAGUCACCGAAAUUCGUUGGUGGUGGGCCCCAUUUAAUAUUAAAACAAAAAAAAUUCGAAGGAAACGGCGUGAGUAGGCCGUUAGUUAUGUGGGGUUAGUUGCACCCUUGUUCUGGAGUUCAGGGAGGUCAACGCGUCUUGACCGAGAAUGGAGGGCUAAAUGCUCUAGGGGGGUCUACUUCAGGGACUAAUCUGCACCUUAACCCUAAAUUUAAUUCAAAAAUUUAAUAUAUUAUUUGAAUAAAAAAACACUCGAAUGUCAUAAACGAUUGAUUGAUAUCAGCAAACUUUCUCAAUAAUUGCAUGCUUUUUUUUUACACAAAAAAUAAUGUAAAGCCAUCAAAAUUAACGGGUAAUUUAGAUCUUUUAUUUUAAUUUGAAUAUAGAAUCAAUUUUUUUAUAUAUAAAAGUAAAAAAAAAUAGUUUACAAUUUAUAAAUGUGGUCCAUUAACACUAAACAAAGUCUAUAAAUUUUCGAAAAUUAAUGUAUAUACACUACUAGCUAUCUGAAUCUAAAUAAUUCCUUCAAUAUUGUGACUUCAAUUUUCAAUAAAUUAAACACAAGUGGAGAAAAGGUAAAGGGACGCUCCACCAAAAUUAAAAGAGCAAAAAUAUAGUUAUACUAUCUUUAUUUUUUUAAUAAAACGGUUAAUAUCUAAUCUUUUUAAUAAACACAAAAUGAUGGCUGGCCGACUUAAAAUGCUUGGCCUUGGCGCUCAUUCGCUUUCAAGUAGUAGCUUGUAAUAGCUGUUUUACUCGUACAUGUUCCUUCAAAUUCAGAUUAUAGAGGUCAAUCCCUAGCUUAACCAACUCAAACAAUUCCACGUCCAUUCACUCAGAAUCGCCACAGAUUUAGCCAAAGAUUUGAUCCCCAAACUAUUAGAAAUCCCCAGCGUAAGCUAUGCACACAAGGUGCUCGACAGUAUGCUUGACCGCAUUGGUUGACAUGUAUGCAUGGAAGGGGUUGCUGCGUUUGGCGAGAAAGGUGUUUGAUGAGAUGGAUGGCAAAGAUGUGCCCACUUGGAAUCUUUGAGGGGAUUUGGAUGAGGCGUUGCGCUGUUUCUUGGGUAUGCCGUCAAGGAAUGUGAUUUCUUGGACUGCUUUGAUAUAGGGAGGCCAGGCUUUGGCGAUGUAUUUAGAGAUGGAGAGAGAGGGGAGAGUUAGGCCUAUUCACGUCACUAUAGUCUAUCCGGCUUGUGCUAAUCUUGGCGCGUUGGAGGUGGGGCAGAGGAUCGAGGCUUAUGCUCGUGCCAAUAAUGCCUUUGUCUGUAACGCAACGCUAUGCGAGGUGUGGUGUGAUAGAGAAGGCAAUGCAGUUGUUUGAUGAGAUUGGUGGUGGUAGAAACUUGAGUUCUUGGAUUAGCAUGAUCAUGAGUUCAGUUGUUCAUGGAAGAUGUGAGGGAGCUCUCGACCUGUUUAACCCAAUCCUGAUGAGCUUUCAAUUUGACUUUGUUUGAGCAAUCAAGAUUCAACAGUAAAAUAGUGUUGCAUAUAUAGUAAUAGUAGUAGUGGGUGUGGUUAAUGCAUGAGACAGUCUCAUGUUCGAGUUCACUAUUACACGAUCUUUAAAAUUACUUGUUCAUCCAUAAAAGAAUUAGUAUUGCAUAUACUUGUCAACUUUAUUGAAGAAGGUGACAGACUUGAUAAGUUUGUAGUCUAAGCUAAGUGUCAUUCCAAAAUCAAAAUUUGUGGGGAAAUUGAUUUUUUGGGUGAUGAAAUAAGAUUCAUGGAGUCAUCUUGAAUAUUUUCUCCUUCAAUAUCUUCUUAGCGAGUCGAGCUCAAGAUAUAGGCUUGUUUAAAUCUAUAAAUUGAACUCAAGCUGAGCACAAGCUUAAUGAUUCUCUUAAGUCGAGUUCCAGCUUCGAUCUCAAUUAUGAAAGAUUUUCUUAACUGACCUUCAUUAUAAUAACUUACUAAAUAGGGGCGGAGCCAGACUUUCGAUAAAAGAUGACAUUUUUCAUAUAUAACUUAAGGAAUAGGACAUUUAAAUUUUCACUCAAUUAAUAAUGUGUUCACUUCUUCAAAAUGUCUUAGCUCUAAAACUUACGUAUAUAUCAAUUACAAUAUAAAAUAGCUCAACACGAUUAUGAUAAAGAUAAAAUCAUUUUUAUAUUUUUUUUAAUAUAAAAUUACAAAAAUACCCUUACUAUAUUUGAAAAUCCCAGGGGGCCCAGUGACCCCCCUGCCCCACCCCUAGCUCCGCCCCUGUUCCUAAACAACUAUCAACUAUAAAGAUAAGCUCGUGCAACUUAUAAUCUCCUUGAAAGAUAAUUUAUUCAACCCAACUUAUUUUUUCAUAAUAUUUUACCAACAAUUAUUUUACAAAAAUAAUUUUACUAUAAAUUCAUAUAUACUUGCAAUUUUAUAACUCUUCAAUUUCAUCUCUCUUACUAGGAUUUUCACACUCUAAUUUACAAUCUCAAUUAUCCAAUUAUACUUUAACAACUUAUAAACUCGUGAUGCAUACUCUGUUUUUGGAGCAACAACCCCUAAGUAGAACCCAAGCUAUCUAUUUGGAUUCAUUUACAACUCUAUCGGUGACUUUCAUUUAUUUAUAGUUGUUGUAGAUCGAUUGGUUGAAAUUGAAUAUUAGAAUUUUCAAGGCAUAAAGAUUGUUGUGUAGUCAAAAUAAGAGCCACAAUUCUUUGUAAAUUUAAUUAGUACCCAAUCAUCACAUUAGCAAUAGAUAGCCAUUUCUUUGAACAAGUUUCUUUGUAACUCCGGAAAUUUGUAAAACUUGAAAAUUAAAGGAUUCAUCAAAUUAAGUUAAAAGAUCAUCUCUUUUAUUUCAAACAGAGACAAGAAAUUGACAAUUCAAAGUAACUAUAAUAGCAAGAUGCGACAAGAUUUAAAUAUGUGAAGUAAGAAGAAAAAGUGUCUAAGCCGUUAAAUUUUUGUGCAUUAAUUUUUAAGAUUUGUUAAAGUUAGUUAUACUGUAACACUCAAUCCUUAUGUAAUUUCAAUUUGUCAGCGCGUAUAACUGGGAUUUUUUUUCCUCCUGCAAACGCUCUUUUAUAAAAUAAAAACUUUGAAGCAUGACAUUUACACACAGACACACACACACACACACACUAUAUAUAUAUAUAUAGAUAUAUUAUAUGAAUAUAUUCCAACUACCAGUUCGCUUAAUAACAAAAUGCAUACGCAUGAGCAAUUGAUUAUCUGAGAUUCUGAUUUUGACAAUGAACAUAUAUUUGUAUAUAGAGGAAAUUAGAGUAACCGGUGGAUACAGUACAUCAAAGUCAAGCUUCAAAAAUAUUUAAUUAUGAAUUUGGUGCUUUUAAAUAAUUUACAAUCAUUAAUGGGCUUAGCUUAUACGUUUUGCAUGGGCUUGUUUAGGCCAACUGCUUUAGUAAACUGAUCCCACAGUAGAAAUAUAAGUGCGGAAACACAUUUAUUAAUUACUUAAGACAAAAUCAAAGUUGGAAAAUACAAUAGAAAAUAGUAGAAUAAGUUUAGCUAAGAUAUCUAGGAAAGCUCUAUCUUACUUGAUGGGAUUAAUAUAAAUGUGAUUAUUUUGGAUCAAAUUUACCUCCCUACGCUGAGAAAUCUACUUGAUAUAAUUCAUUCAUCUAAUUAAGUAUAACACGAGAACUGUUAUUGAUAACAAUUGAUCUGCAUAAAUUCUUUGAGUACUUCUCAGUAGAAUUGCAUGAAUCAGUGCAUUAAUCAAAAGAAAAAACAUAACAAAAGCUGCAAUCAUGCAUGGAAGCUGAGCUGACAGACAUUAUUCUUAAAUAAUCAUAUUUUUCAUCCAACUCUUCAUCAACUUUAUAUAAAAAAAACUCGUACAUGUAUCGUAAUUGGAUAGGUUUUAUUUAUUAAUUUGGUUGUUUGUUGCAUUAAAAAGCCCUUCACUUGAGUUAGAUUGAACCAUCUCUCUCUCUCUCUCUCUCAUGCAUGGCAGUCACAACCACUGCCCUCGUGUGUGCAUUGUUGAGUUUGCUUUCCAUCUCUCAUAGCGUUCAUGGAAUCAAGAGAUGGCCUGGCGGGGCUUCCACCAGAUUCUACGACUUCAAGGUACUCUCUCUCUCUCUCUCUUAAUUAACUAUGGGAAGGGAAGUAGAUAGGCUUUAAAAUAGAAAUUAUAAAGUUGACAAAUUAGAAAAAUGAAAAAUUCUCCCUCUAUGGGAUUUGAACUGGGACUACGAAAUGAUGAAUCCAGUGUAGAUGCAAUUUAUAUCUUAAAAUGAGUUUUUAUUUGAUCUAAUCCUAGCAUGAUCACAUAUAUAGGUGCAAACGAAGAGGGUGACGAAGUUGUGCAACAGCAAGGAGAUCGUGACCAUUAAUGAGAUGUACCCCGGUCCAGUGGUUUACGCUCAAGAAGACGAUCGUCUCAUCAUCCGAGUCUCCAAUUUGACGCCUCACAAUGCCACAAUUCACUGGUAUACUCAAAAUACUUCACUUUCUCAAUUACUCAUUAUUUGUGAAAUGAUGCCCGGAAUAAUAAAUAAGGUUAUGUUCCAAAGAAAAUUAAAAUGUUGUAAGACAAAGCAUUGUUUGUUUGUUGUAAAACUAGGCAUGGGGUCCGACAACGGUUGUCGUGCUGGUCCGACGGCCCAUCUUACGUGACACAAUGUCCGAUCCAACCGGGGCAGACUUUCAGUUACGAGUUCACCCUGGUUCAACAAAAGGGCACCUUUUUCUGGCAUGCUCAUGUCUCGUGGCUCCGGGCUACGGUUUAUGGUGCCUUGAUCGUUUACCCCAGACCCGGUGUACCCUACCCUUUCCCUUACCCCUACCAGGAGCAUAUUGUUAUUCUAGGUUGCUUCACUUCUCCUGAUUUCAAAUCCCUUCCAAAAAUACUUUAAAAGAUGAUACGUUGAGAUUAAUGUUGCAAUCAAUAUAUAUAGGGGAAUAUUGGUUGAGAGAUCCUCUAAAGAUCGAGCAGGCAGUUUUAGCUAGCGGCGGAGGCGCUCCCAUCGCGGAUGCUUACACGAUCAACGGCCACCCCGGCCCCAACUAUAACUGCUCCGUCAACGGUAAGCCUCAAGUCUAGUAAUAAGGAUAAAAAUAGUUACAUGAGAUGUAAGAAAAAGGUAAAUUAAGCAGAAACGUUCCUUAGAUGUGUACAGGAUGAACGUGGUACCCGGGAAGACCUACCUGCUGAGGUUGAUCAACGCGGGAUUGAACACAGAAAACUUCUUUGCAAUUGCUAAUCACAAGCUCACCAUAGUCGAAGCAGAUGCAGAGUACACAAAGGCGCUCCACACCGACAAGGUGAUGCUCGCGCCGGGCCAGACCCUCAACGUCCUCGUCACAGCAGAUCAGCCCAUAAGUAGAUACUCCAUGGCUGUCGGGCCAUACAUGUCUGCAAGAAACGUACCGUUUCAGAACAUAACCUCAGUAGGAUAUUUUCAGUACCUAGGUGCAACACCAAACAGCAUAUCUUUACCAGCCAUGCUACCUAGUUUCAACGACAAUCUUGCCGUUAAAACUGUAAUGGACGGGCUCCGGGGCCUCAACACCUCGGAUGUUCCUAAAGUAAUUGACAAGAACUUGUUUGUCACCAUAGGUGUGAAUGUGAAUAAGUGUAAUAGAAAAAACCCCAAGAAAAACUGCCAAGGCACUAAUGGUGGGGUGUUUGCUGCUUCCAUGAACAAUAUAAGUUUCAUUAGACCUAAUGUUUCACUUUUAGAAGCUUAUUACAGGGAUAAAGCUGGCUACUUCACUGAUGAUUUCCCCGGGGCACCCUUAAAAUUUUACGAUUUUGUUAACGGGGCGCCUAACAAUGCUCCUAAUGACACCAACGCGAUGAAUGGGACGAGGUUGUUUGUGCUUGAGUAUGGGACAAGGGUUCAACUCAUUUUGCAGGAUACUGGCACUGUCUCGACUGAGAAUCAUCCAAUUCAUCUUCAUGGCUACAGUUUCUACGUCGUGGGGUAUGGCACGGGUAACUACAAUCCGGAUACGGCUAAUUUCAACUUGAUGGAUCCGCCUUACAUGAACACCAUUGGAGUUCCUGUUGGUGGAUGGGCAGCAAUUAGAUUUACAGCUGAUAAUCCAGGUAUUGCAUCUACUUAAAUCAGUCCUGGCAUCGAUUAUUUACCUAAUAUAAUGUUAUGCAUAACCAGAAAAUUGAUGGAUCAAAUAUAUGCUGCAUAAGAAAAUACAUUUAUGAGACAUCCACACGCUCUUAGACACAUAUGAUAUACUAACACAGACAUCUGCAUCAUUGCCCAAGACAAACUUGAUGAGACUUUAUGAAUGUGGUGCAGGGGUCUGGUUUAUGCAUUGCCAUCUGGAGAUACAUUUAUCAUGGGGUUUGUCUGUGGCAAUUAUUGUCAAGAAUGGGCAAGGACCACUCGAGACCCUCCCCCACCCUCCAGCUGAUUACCCUCGGUGCUAGAAGAUGAAAAACAAGAAUCACGAGGAGGGCUUUUGAUCUUUUCCAUGAUUGGAUUCUUUCGGACAAGUGUGUAUUAUGUCUAUGUAUGGCUUGGUUGUCUCAAUAAAAAUCUCUCUGUUUCUAGAUUCAUUUUGUUAGCUUUUUCGCCGAUAAGAAGCCGUUGUAUAUUGAUGAAUGGUGACGACACACAUCUUAAUUAUAUGAAAAUGCACGUUGAGAAGACAAACAUGGUGAUAUUGAAAGUAAGCUAUAAUGAUACCCUUUUCAAAAAACAAGGCAGAGGGAAGAGAAGCUGUAAAUUACUGUAAGCACAUGAUGACGGUGACAUAUUUAAUAAAGGAGGCAUGAAGUAGAAGAUGCUGAAUGUACCUAUUAAAAAUGGAAAAUAUGUACUAUAAACUUUUAAUUAAUUAAAUGCCAACUUGAUUCUUCAAGGCAUAUAUAUCAGAGUAAAAACUUCUGUACUACAAAAGUGACAAACUAACCAACAUCACAUGGCAUUUUCAUUCUAUUUUUGUUUGGUUCAAAAAUGUUUAAAAGAAGUCGAGAUUUAAUAAACUCUGGGACAAGGCAUUGCCUUUUCUCGUUUACUUUUAGUAUAUGCGUCUCAAGAAAACCUAAGAUCAAUAAGUGGAUCGCUUAGUUCAUUGACAUGUGUCAAUGGGUCAUAUGAACUGCGAGCAGAAUAUGCUGAAAAGUACCUUAUUGAAUCAAUUCUCUCUGCUGCUCGAAGCUCAGAGCUCAUGCGAAAAGUAUAAGUGGCCCCAAAACCAUGGCUAUCCUCAAACAAUAAGAUGCAGAUUAAACCAUCAGUAAGUGUAGAAGAGAAAUUACACGGUAACUAAGAUUAUGUAAACGCAAACCUUAACAACUCAAAUUCAAGAGGGAGAAGAUCGAAUCUAUUUCAUAAUUAGUCCAACAAAUCCAUGUAUUUAUAGUAGCAAAAGGAGGGUACUAACUUGAUGUACUGACAAAUACCUCGUUGUAAGUACAAUUAUUCUCUGUACUGCAUCUCUAAAGAGACAUAACAAAAGACAAUGAAAUAUAGUUUUCCAACCUUUUUAAUAUCCUCUCAGUUAAACAAUAACAGGGUAAAAGUUCUCACAAUAAGAUAAGAGUAACUGAGCUGCCAACUAUUUACUCGAUAAACCCCCGAGCACAAGUAUAAAUAGG
This 26172-nucleotide long non-coding RNA is filed under the name Salvia miltiorrhiza (redroot sage). RNAcentral describes it as "long non-coding RNA (SMIL_LNC001859)". Lineage: Eukaryota; Viridiplantae; Streptophyta; Magnoliopsida; Lamiales; Lamiaceae. The record is from RNAcentral.